Molecule: long non-coding RNA, 532 nt
Filed under: Homo sapiens (human)
Lineage: Eukaryota; Metazoa; Chordata; Mammalia; Primates; Hominidae
Description: HSALNT0246312
Source: RNAcentral
GUGGUAAAAUUUCAACUUUAUUUGGCCAAUGUGUUCAAUUCGAUUGUGAAAUAGAAAUGCCUGAAGAACUGUCAGCGUCUGAUUCAGCUCCAGCAUCCUUGGCCACCUCCCCACCCGGGAGUCAAGGGUCGUGGUUCUGCCUUGAACAGGCCACAGGCCGUGCUGUAGAGAGGCCUGGCCAAGGUGGAACAAAUACCCUGAUGUCGAAAAAUGUCUAAAAAUCCCACAGACGGAAUUUUCAAAAAGAGGAGAAACCUCCCGCGGGAGGGAGGCAGCGAGACUCCGAACACGGUAGCAAGCACUCUGGACAGACUCAUGUAUGAAAAAGUACAUCAUGGUUUCAGGAAACAAGCCCCACCAGGGUGGGCUGCCUGGAGAUGGAUCCCUUUCCAAAAACCGAAAAGCAGAAGGAAGAGACGGGGGUGAACGGACGGUGUGUAGGGGUGAGGUGUCACUUCAGAGAGGUUCCCUGGGUUUCCGGCGACGCCCUCCUUCAAGCGAGGCCGCAGGCUUCGGAGGCGUGCGCUGCUGC